Phyllostomus discolor (pale spear-nosed bat) is the source of this 1903-nucleotide long non-coding RNA. RefSeq lists it as uncharacterized. NCBI's taxonomy places the organism in Eukaryota, Metazoa, Chordata, Mammalia, Chiroptera, Phyllostomidae. The transcript is spliced from 3 exons. The record is from RefSeq and is a predicted model, not a curated record.
GCUCCGGGCGCCGGCGAACGGGCGGGCAGGCUGGCUGGCGGGAGGAUGUGCGCGCGCGAGUGUGCGUGUAUCUGCGUGUGUCCCUGGUUGGGCUGCACACAGUGCGGGGAUCCGGAGCUCCAUUUUAACAUGAGGAAACCUCCAGCCACCAUCCUCUUUUGCCGGGUUGUUCGCACAGCUUGCUAACCGGUCUCCCAGCUUCCACCCUUGGCUCCUUGCAGUUCAUCUACACAGCAGUCAGAGCCGUCUUUUUAAAACGUAAAGAGCUGACCUGUGCUGAAGGGGAGAGCCUUUCUGGGAUUGAGUGAUGCCAGGAGACACUUCUCUGUUCUCUGAGUCGGGAGAAGUGUGCAGGAGAUGGUGUGAAAGCUGGUGACCAAGCAAGGCUUAUCAAGAUCCUGGAUAGAUCUUGUAAUUUCCUGUGCAGGAACUGUGGGCCAGUAGGAGCCCAGAGCUGUUUGAGAUAUGACUCCUUACCAAGACGUUUCUCAUCAUUUGCCCCACUUCCACUCACGUGUCAGCCACUCCCAUCCUACCCCUGUGUGGUCAUCCUCUCGGUAAGUGCUCGCUGUUGUGGCGCCUGAGUGGACAACUGUGAGCCUGGGGAGCGACGUCAAGCAAUGUGAGUUUGCACCGUGAUGCUUUAAAACUGAAGAAUAAAGUUUAUCAUAGAGCAAAAGUUCACUGUGGCCUAAACCCACUUUUUUGCUUGUUAGUUUUAAUUCUCACAGUAUUAUGCAUUCAUGUAUAUAAUUUUUUCCCAACUGAUAGAGAAGUAGAUGCAAGGAAACAGUCUCCCCGAAUCCCAUUCUCCAGAGGCCACCCAUUCUUAUUUCCUUUAUAUUGUUAGCUCUGAACCCUAAACUUACAAUUACAUGUUUAAUUGAUCAGCAUUAAGAAGUGGAUCAGUUGACUUCCCAUGUAAAACGUAAGGACUUCAGCAUACAUAAUAUUCUUCUUUUUCCCCUCUUCCACUUUAUAUAAUUUUAGAAUGUAUUUUUAUUUGGUGUAAAUAUUAAAAAUUUAACUCAUAUCUCCUAUAUUUUCCUUUCAUGUGCCUCACACUAGUCAAAUUAACUUAUUAUUUUUUUGAAGUGUCAUUUGAAUUGGAAACUAUUUCAGAUAUUCAGAAAGUUCUUCAAUGGGCUGAAUUGUGCCCCUCCCCGACAAUUUCAUAAGCUGAAGUCCUCACUCCCAGCAUCUCACAAUGUGACUACUGGGAGACGGUCUUUAAAGAGGCAAUUAAGUUAAAAUGAGGUAAUCACGGUGGGCACUUAUCUAACAUGACUGGUAUCCUAAUAAGAAGGUUAGGAUGCAGAUACACGCACAGGAGGAAGAUCACGUGAGGGCCAGGAAGAAGAUGCCAUCUAUUAGCCAAGGAGAGAGGCCUCACAGCAUACCAACACCUUGAUCUCAGAGUGCCAGUCUCCAGAACUGUGAGAAAAUAAACUCUUGUUGUUGAAGACACCCAGCUGUGGUACUUCGUUACGGCAGCCCUGAGAAACUGACAGAGACCUUCGGUGGCCCAGGCCUUAUUUCAGGCGAUGGAAUGUCAGUGUGGAAGACAACCGUGAACUAGAGCAUGGCCUUUUGGCGCUUAUCCUCGAAGGUCUGGACACGUUUCCUCAGAUGGUAAAUACAGGCAGAGAAGAGAGGGAGUCUGAAGGGGCCUUCACUUGUUGGGAGUCUGGAGGAGGAGUUGGAUUCAGACAGCCGUGUGUAGGGAAACUGAUCAGUGAAACAGGAGUCUCAGAAUUAGACCCAAAUGCAUAUGGGAAUUUAGUAUAUGAUUAAAAAAUGUAUGUUAAAGUAGUGGGUGUAAUGUGAACUAUUCUGUGAAUGGAAUUGGGAUAACGGGUGGUCAUCCAAAAUAAAAUAAAGUUGAAAACAUACUUUAUAUAUG